This is a non-coding RNA of Malus domestica (apple), 1191 nucleotides long. NCBI's taxonomy places the organism in Eukaryota, Viridiplantae, Streptophyta, Magnoliopsida, Rosales, Rosaceae. The record is from RefSeq and is a predicted model, not a curated record.
UAGCUGUGACUGAAAAAUUAUUCCGAAACUAACAUUUGAGGAAUUCAAGAUUGAGACGAACGUCAAAUUUAAAAUGGCAUUAAUCAGGACAGCUGCAAACUCUGAUUUGCGGCCUUUGAAAUGGAGAAGUUACUUCUUGCUUCACUUCAGCAGCAUAGUCCAGCUUCUAAAUUCAGUUCUCAGUGAGAUUAUGGUAGGAUUUCGUUUAGAUUCCGUGGCCCAAUGGGAGUCUCUGCUUUGAUAAGAUUGGGGUUGAUGCCAAGAAAGCCUUUCUACUGUGGACGCCGCAGCCGCCUAGCGCUGUUUUCCAAAAUCCUCUCUCACUUGGGCAUGCUUGAUGAGUGCUGCAGAGCUGCCAUCCCUGAAUCAGAAGAUGUUCAGAAGGAAGAAGGAAGAACAAGAAGAAAAAGAAGAAGAAAGUCGUGGAAUAUCAAAAGCUUUUAGCUUUGUGAAGGUGAUUUGAGAUCAUGUAACAUUUCCUCGCCAGAACCGAAGAUUGCCGUCGCUCAAAGCUGCGUUUCAUGAAACAAGUUCAUCUCCUGCCAAUUUUGUGUACCCACUUUUUAUUCAUGAGGGUAGGUCGACACACCUAUCUGGGCAAUGUCGGGAUGUCUAGGCUUGGGUGGAGACAUGGACUUAUGAAAGAGAUCCUAAACUAUGGCAUCUUCUUCCUCCUCCGCUGCUCCCUCCGUCUCAAAUUUUCUUACGAUUAAGCUCGACCGCAACAACUACCCUCUUUGGCGUGCUCAAUUUCUUCCCUUGCUGCGCAGCCGCAACUUACUCUCUUAUGUUACUGGCGAAACUCAAUGCCCCUCUGCCUUUCUUCUUGAUGACAAUGGUAAAUUCACAGACAAAGUCAAUCCAUUAUAUAAUGAAUGGAUCCAGACUGACGAGAUGAUCCUAUCUUGGAUUACGAGUUCUCUUACUCCCAAGCAGAAGUCGCACUUUGAAGAGUUCGUGCUGCACAGAAAGAUGAUGAAAUGCUACCUGUUGAGUCUAUCAUUGCUCCAUUGGAGACAGAGCUGAAGCUUGCUGCAGGAGUUAUACAUUUGUUAUGCAAUAUGACCCCUUUAAUUUUAUUUUAAAACUGAUACAAAAAUACUACAAAAAUUUAUGUAGUAUUUUUGUAUCAGUUUUGAGUGUCUAUUUUGGCUUCCAUAUUUCGUCUGUACAUGUGAGAGGUAUAGUGUU